This 2990-nucleotide ribosomal RNA is filed under the name Salmonella enterica. Its description in RNAcentral is "23S ribosomal RNA". It matches the Rfam family "Bacterial large subunit ribosomal RNA". Lineage: Bacteria; Pseudomonadati; Pseudomonadota; Gammaproteobacteria; Enterobacterales; Enterobacteriaceae. RNAcentral also lists the same sequence under 3 other names. The record is from RNAcentral.
GGUUAAGCGACUAAGCGUACACGGUGGAUGCCCUGGCAGUCAGAGGCGAUGAAGGACGUGCUAAUCUGCGAUAAGCGCCGGUAAGGUGAUAUGAACCGUUAUAACCGGCGAUUUCCGAAUGGGGAAACCCAGUGUGACUCGUCACACUAUCAUUAACUGAAUCCAUAGGUUAAUGAGGCGAACCGGGGGAACUGAAACAUCUAAGUACCCCGAGGAAAAGAAAUCAACCGAGAUUCCCCCAGUAGCGGCGAGCGAACGGGGAGGAGCCCAGAGCCUGAAUCAGCAUGUGUGUUAGUGGAAGCGUCUGGAAAGGCGCGCGAUACAGGGUGACAGCCCCGUACACAAAAGCGCAUGUGCUGUGAGCUCGAUGAGUAGGGCGGGACACGUGGUAUCCUGUCUGAAUAUGGGGGGACCAUCCUCCAAGGCUAAAUACUCCUGACUGACCGAUAGUGAACCAGUACCGUGAGGGAAAGGCGAAAAGAACCCCGGCGAGGGGAGUGAAAAAGAACCUGAAACCGUGUACGUACAAGCAGUGGGAGCACAGGUUUACCUGUGUGACUGCGUACCUUUUGUAUAAUGGGUCAGCGACUUAUAUUCUGUAGCAAGGUUAACCGCAUAGGGGAGCCGCAGGGAAACCGAGUCUUAACCGGGCGUUAAGUUGCAGGGUAUAGACCCGAAACCCGGUGAUCUAGCCAUGGGCAGGUUGAAGGUUGGGUAACACUAACUGGAGGACCGAACCGACUAAUGUUGAAAAAUUAGCGGAUGACCUGUGGCUGGGGGUGAAAGGCCAAUCAAACCGGGAGAUAGCUGGUUCUCCCCGAAAGCUAUUUAGGUAGCGCCUCGUGAAUUCAUCUCCGGGGGUAGAGCACUGUUUCGGCUAGGGGGUCAUCCCGACUUACCAACCCGAUGCAAACUGCGAAUACCGGAGAAUGUUAUCACGGGAGACACACGGCGGGUGCUAACGUCCGUCGUGAAGAGGGAAACAACCCAGACCGCCAGCUAAGGUCCCAAAGUCAUGGUUAAGUGGGAAACGAUGUGGGAAGGCCCAGACAGCCAGGAUGUUGGCUUAGAAGCAGCCAUCAUUUAAAGAAAGCGUAAUAGCUCACUGGUCGAGUCGGCCUGCGCGGAAGAUGUAACGGGGCUAAACCAUGCACCGAAGCUGCGGCAGCGAACGUAUCACCCAAGACAACUUUGCGGAGUUGACGAUUGACGGAGCGAAGCGACGUCAAAGCGUUCAUUAAAGUCGAGUUGGCUUAGGGAUACGUUCGUUGGGUAGGGGAGCGUUCUGUAAGCCUGUGAAGGUGUGCUGUGAGGCAUGCUGGAGGUAUCAGAAGUGCGAAUGCUGACAUAAGUAACGAUAAAGCGGGUGAAAAGCCCGCUCGCCGGAAGACCAAGGGUUCCUGUCCAACGUUAAUCGGGGCAGGGUGAGUCGACCCCUAAGGCGAGGCCGAAAGGCGUAGUCGAUGGGAAACGGGUUAAUAUUCCCGUACUUGGUGUUACUGCGAAGGGGGGACGGAGAAGGCUAUGUUGGCCGGGCGACGGUUGUCCCGGUUUAAGCGUGUAGGCUGGUUUUCCAGGCAAAUCCGGAAAAUCAAGGCUGAGGCGUGACGACGAGGCACUACGGUGCUGAAGCAACAAAUGCCCUGCUUCCAGGAAAAGCCUCUAAGCAUCAGGUAACAUCAAAUCGUACCCCAAACCGACACAGGUGGUCAGGUAGAGAAUACCAAGGCGCUUGAGAGAACUCGGGUGAAGGAACUAGGCAAAAUGGUGCCGUAACUUCGGGAGAAGGCACGCUGACAUGUAGGUGAAGUGAUUUACUCAUGGAGCUGAAGUCAGUCGAAGAUACCAGCUGGCUGCAACUGUUUAUUAAAAACACAGCACUGUGCAAACACGAAAGUGGACGUAUACGGUGUGACGCCUGCCCGGUGCCGGAAGGUUAAUUGAUGGGGUCAGCGCAAGCGAAGCUCCUGAUCGAAGCCCCGGUAAACGGCGGCCGUAACUAUAACGGUCCUAAGGUAGCGAAAUUCCUUGUCGGGUAAGUUCCGACCUGCACGAAUGGCGUAAUGAUGGCCAGGCUGUCUCCACCCGAGACUCAGUGAAAUUGAACUCGCUGUGAAGAUGCAGUGUACCCGCGGCAAGACGGAAAGACCCCGUGAACCUUUACUAUAGCUUGACACUGAACAUUGAGCCUUGAUGUGUAGGAUAGGUGGGAGGCUUUGAAGCGUGGACGCCAGUCUGCGUGGAGCCGACCUUGAAAUACCACCCUUUAAUGUUUGAUGUUCUAACGUGGACCCGUUACCCGGGUUGCGGACAGUGUCUGGUGGGUAGUUUGACUGGGGCGGUCUCCUCCUAAAGAGUAACGGAGGAGCACGAAGGUUGGCUAAUCCUGGUCGGACAUCAGGAGGUUAGUGCAAUGGCAUAAGCCAGCUUGACUGCGAGCGUGACGGCGCGAGCAGGUGCGAAAGCAGGUCAUAGUGAUCCGGUGGUUCUGAAUGGAAGGGCCAUCGCUCAACGGAUAAAAGGUACUCCGGGGAUAACAGGCUGAUACCGCCCAAGAGUUCAUAUCGACGGCGGUGUUUGGCACCUCGAUGUCGGCUCAUCACAUCCUGGGGCUGAAGUAGGUCCCAAGGGUAUGGCUGUUCGCCAUUUAAAGUGGUACGCGAGCUGGGUUUAGAACGUCGUGAGACAGUUCGGUCCCUAUCUGCCGUGGGCGCUGGAGAACUGAGGGGGGCUGCUCCUAGUACGAGAGGACCGGAGUGGACGCAUCACUGGUGUUCGGGUUGUCAUGCCAAUGGCACUGCCCGGUAGCUAAAUGCGGAAGAGAUAAGUGCUGAAAGCAUCUAAGCACGAAACUUGCCCCGAGAUGAGUUCUCCCUGAGACUUUAGGUCUCCUGAAGGAACGUUGAAGACGACGACGUUGAUAGGCCGGGUGUGUAAGCGCAGCGAUGCGUUGAGCUAACCGGUACUAAUGAACCGUGAGGCUUAACCUU